AUAGAGCGCAUGUGCCGGCAUAGUUCCGGCAGACGAGGAAGAGGUUCAUCGAACUGUCAGCGGAUGCCUCUCGGUAAGCUGCAAACCGUAAGUGCUUUUACAAAAUUUCCCGGUAACGGGGAAAACAGAAGAAA
RNAcentral lists this non-coding RNA (134 nucleotides) under uncultured Acidaminococcus sp. RNAcentral describes it as "glmS glucosamine-6-phosphate activated ribozyme". It matches the Rfam family "glmS glucosamine-6-phosphate activated ribozyme aptamer", at positions 9 to 153 of the family's 167-position model. From Rfam's summary of the family: This entry contains a glucosamine-6-phosphate activated ribozyme that is found in the mRNA for GlmS. Lineage: Bacteria; Bacillati; Bacillota; Negativicutes; Acidaminococcales; Acidaminococcaceae. The record is from RNAcentral.